This 625-nucleotide ribosomal RNA is filed under the name uncultured bacterium. Its description in RNAcentral is "bacterial SSU rRNA". It matches the Rfam family "Bacterial small subunit ribosomal RNA", at positions 28 to 652 of the family's 1533-position model. The record is from RNAcentral.
GACGAACGCUGGCGGCGUGCUUAACCAUGCAAGUCGAACGGAGCACCCUUGACUGAGGUUUCGGCCAAAUGAUAGGAAUGCUUAGUGGCGGACUGGUGAGUAACGCGUGAGGAACCUGCCUUCCAGAGGGGGACAACAGUUGGAAACGACUGCUAAUACCGCAUGAUAUAUUUGAGGGGCACCCCUUGGAUAUCAAAGAUUUAUCGCUGGAAGAUGGCCUCGCGUCUGAUUAGCUAGUAGGCGGGGUAACGGUCCACCUAGGCGACGAUCAGUAGCCGGACUGAGAGGUUGACCGGCCACAUUGGGACUGAGAUACGGCCCAGACUCCUACGGGAGGCAGCAGUGGGGAAUAUUGGGCAAUGGGCGCAAGCCUGACCCAGCAACGCCGCGUGAAGGAAGAAGGCUUUCGGGUUGUAAACUUCUUUUGUCAGGGAACAGUAGAAGAGGGUACCUGACGAAUAAGCCACGGCUAACUACGUGCCAGCAGCCGCGGUAAUACGUAGGUGGCAAGCGUUGUCCGGAUUUACUGGGUGUAAAGGGCGUGCAGCCGGGCUGGUAAGUCAGAUGUGAAAUCUGGAGGCUCAACCUCCAAACUGCAUUUGAAACUGCUGGUCUUGAGUACCGG